This is a long non-coding RNA of Helianthus annuus (common sunflower), 1384 nucleotides long. RefSeq lists it as uncharacterized. The record is from RefSeq and is a predicted model, not a curated record. Lineage: Eukaryota; Viridiplantae; Streptophyta; Magnoliopsida; Asterales; Asteraceae. The transcript is spliced from 3 exons.
UCCACAGCAAGCAAAUAACGGGCUCUUAGGGUUUUUUUUGUUUUUUCCCGUGCUUUAAUACAAAUAGCGGGAUUUUAUAAGUGUAAAAUAGCAGGAUUUUAGUUUUUUUAAAAUCAUACCUAUAAAACAUCAUAUAACACAGCUUAUUUGGAUAUAAUAUACAUAUAAUUAUUUCUAAAAUUUUUUCCAAGUGUGUCGCUAAACAUAAAAUAGCGCCCGCUAUUUCAUCGCUAUCGCUACGUAGCGUAUAGGUAGCGUGUCGCUAUUGUCCACUAUUCGCUAUUAAUAACUAUGUUCAAUAUUGACUCUUUCAAUAUUUUAGUACGUCGAACACACUAAUUAUCAGCUUCAGAGCUGAAAUAUUUGAAUAAUUAUUAGCUUCAGGUCUUAACGUUGACCAGCAGCACCCUUCAAAGGGGUUGAAGAAAGCUGCUAAUCAGGCCCCUAAAAUUGCUCCGAAAACAGUUGGGUUUAAUUACACUAGAGCCGUCCAAGGCAGCCAUGUAAAAGCUGGUUCGAGUCAACAAAAUGCCACCAAAACAGCCCCUGUCCCAGCUGUUAACAAAGGUCUGGCCGAAGACGGAAAAAUGAUACCGAUGUGGCGCGGAGUCGGACUGAUACGUACAUUAGGUCAUCGCUUCGAACAGCUUUUGCUCAGCAGCGACAGCCAGAGCCAGCGUAGGAGAUGGAGCCGGGUGGCAGUAUAAGAGCCGAAAGGACGUGUUUUGAUGACUUUUGAUUGAGGUUUCAUAGUUUUUCCGACAACCAGUGAGUUUAAGUGAAAAAAAAAUCGAACUUUUCAACCAUUUUGUCACUCCAACCAGCAUUUCGGUCUACUGGUGGUGUUGGCGAUGCUACUGACUCCGGCGGAGGCGGAGGUUGAAUGUAUUCACACGGCUUACAAAUCAUCGAUGUGGCACGAAGGCGGACUGAUACGUACAUUAGGUCAUCGCUUCGAACAGCUUUUGCUCAGCGACGGCCAGAGCCAGCGUAGGAGAUGGAGCCGGGUGGCAGUAUAAGAGCCGAAAGGACGUGUUUUGAUGACUUUUGAUUGAAGUUUCAUAGUUUUCCUGGCAACCAGUGAGUUUAAGUGAAAAAAAAAAUCGAACUUUUCAACCAUUUUGUCACUCCAACCAGCAUUUCGGUCUACUGGUGGUGUUGGCGAUGCUACUGACUCCGGCGGAGGCGGAGGUUGAAUGAAUUCACACGGCUUACAAAUCAUCGAUGUGGCGCGAAGUCGGACUGAUACGUACAUUAGGUCAUCGCUUCGAACAGCUUUUGCUCAGGUACGUUUUUAUUUGUUUUAAGUCAAUAAUAGCAUGGCUCAGAAAAUAUAUACCUGUCGUUAUGUGCAGCAAUUAACUGUUUGAUUUUGUACAGUCUG